AGUGAACGCUGGCGGUAGGCCUAACACAUGCAAGUCGAACGGCAGCACAGUAAGAGCUUGCUCUUACGGGUGGCGAGUGGCGGACGGGUGAGGAAUACAUCGGAAUCUACUUUUUCGUGGGGGAUAACGUAGGGAAACUUACGCUAAUACCGCAUACGACCUACGGGUGAAAGCAGGGGAUCUUCGGACCUUGCGCGAUUGAAUGAGCCGAUGUCGGAUUAGCUAGUUGGCGGGGUAAAGGCCCACCAAGGCGACGAUCCGUAGCUGGUCUGAGAGGAUGAUCAGCCACACUGGAACUGAGACACGGUCCAGACUCCUACGGGAGGCAGCAGUGGGGAAUAUUGGACAAUGGGCGCAAGCCUGAUCCAGCCAUACCGCGUGGGUGAAGAAGGCCUUCGGGUUGUAAAGCCCAUUUGUUGGGAAAGAAAAGCAGUAGGUUAAUACCCCGCUGUUCUGACGGUACCCAAAGAAUAAGCACCGGCUAACUUCGUG
This 492-nucleotide ribosomal RNA is filed under the name uncultured bacterium. Its description in RNAcentral is "partial 16S ribosomal RNA". It matches the Rfam family "Bacterial small subunit ribosomal RNA", at positions 29 to 507 of the family's 1533-position model. The record is from RNAcentral.